GCGGGUGUGGCGGAACUGGUAGACGCACUGGAUUUAGGUUCCAGCGCCGCAAGGCGUGGAGGUUCGAUUCCUCUCACCCGCA
RNAcentral lists this transfer RNA (82 nucleotides) under Devosia epidermidihirudinis. It matches the Rfam family "tRNA". Rfam says of the family: Transfer RNA (tRNA) molecules are approximately 80 nucleotides in length. Their secondary structure includes four short double-helical elements and three loops (D, anti-codon, and T loops). Further hydrogen bonds mediate the characteristic L-shaped molecular structure. tRNAs have two regions of fundamental functional importance: the anti-codon, which is responsible for specific mRNA codon recognition, and the 3' end, to which the tRNAs corresponding amino acid is attached (by aminoacyl-tRNA synthetases). tRNAs cope with the degeneracy of the genetic code in two manners: having more than one tRNA (with a specific anti-codon) for a particular amino acid; and 'wobble' base-pairing, i.e. permitting non-standard base-pairing at the 3rd anti-codon position. Lineage: Bacteria; Pseudomonadati; Pseudomonadota; Alphaproteobacteria; Hyphomicrobiales; Devosiaceae. RNAcentral also lists the same sequence under 1 other name. The record is from Rfam by way of RNAcentral.